This is a long non-coding RNA of Dama dama (fallow deer), 1271 nucleotides long. RefSeq lists it as uncharacterized. The transcript has 3 exons. Lineage: Eukaryota; Metazoa; Chordata; Mammalia; Artiodactyla; Cervidae. The record is from RefSeq and is a predicted model, not a curated record.
AGGUCACCAGUGGACCCCUUUCCAAAUCUAGUCUCCAUCCCUGCCUCCUGGCCUUCAGUACACACCGGCCCACCAAGUCAGAAUGGAUUUUAGAAGUUACGGGAGAAACAGUCAUGGACCACGUGGUGUUCUGGUUUGGCCAUGCCGACUGGCAGGUGAAGACAUGCUGAUUCCCCUUCUCCCUCUGGGAUCUGGCAGAAUUCUCCGGCAGAACACUCAGAAGCUCGCGACUGAGAUCCAUCUGGCUGUCUUAAAAAAUAAAAAAGGAGAUGCUGGGAGUCAGCACAUGAGAUCCCACCCAUGACAAGGUCGUGAGGAGAAGACCUGAUAAACAAGGCAGAUCGGGACUUCAGGAAUUUCGAAAAGCUGCCCGGCGCUCACCUUAAAGAUGAUCUCUGUCUUUCUGAUGCUUGCUAUAUUAGACUACUCCCUAAUUUCUGUGACACAGGUAGAAGGCCUUCCCCGAUCUCUCUCCAAACAGAAUCAACUUAGAACUUUAAUCAAUAUGUCCCCAAAGGACGGUGGUAUCCUAUAAGAUUAUCCAGGAUGAAAGGAGUGUUUCAAUUUAGACCCCUUUGCUGGCAUUCUAGCCUGCUUGGCAAAUGAGUACUAAUGCACAUGACCACUCACAACACUUUAAUCAUAAACAGCAUAAAGAACCUAAUCACACAAAGGCCCCAAUAGGCACAGAGCCCUUCGGGGGGUGAGGAAGCCCUAUUAGAGAACACGAAAAUAUUAUUCUAAAAGUGGUUAGAGUUAAAGAUUUAGAAAAAUAAGAGUUUAGAAUUGUUCAUCUUAACCAGGAAUGCUAAACAGGGGCUGCCUCACCGGAGCUGCAGAGUCUUUGUGUGGUAAACCUUUUAAAUAAAUUUAACUGAAAACUUCUGCAAAAGGACUGACCUUUGUGUUCAUUAAGGAAUAGAUUACAGAAAACAGCUUUGCAUUCACCUAGGUCAUAAAAUGUCAACAGGCCCCAAGGCCAGAAGAUAAUGUAUAAGACUCUCACUAAGAAGUUGCAGAAAACACCCUCGUUUCCUGAAGGAUAAGCCGAUGUAAUACUAAACUAUCUUCCCUUUAAAAAUGUACUAACUUAGAAUAUAAAAGCUACAGUAAAAAAAAAGAAGAUUGGCCAGACUAUACUACACACCCCCAGUCUGGUCUCUCUCCCUCCCUCUCUCUCUCUCUUUCUCGCUGACGCCGUUCAUGCUGUGGGUACCCCUGGAUCCUGUUGAGGCUGGACCCCAGCAGAAAAGCUUAAUGUUUAAAAUGUU